GACAUUCUGUUACCUAGCAGGAAUCUAAUUCAAGUAUUUUUCUUCCUUAAGCAUCUGCAAAGCCAGUAUCUGGAAUUUCCUUGCCAGAUGAUACGCUUCUCACAUCCCUUUACAACUCCGAACUGAUUUUACGUGAAAAAGAAAUGCAUUUUUUUCUUAAAAGGCACUUACAGCUGUAUUCGUCCUCUUGUAUUGAUGAAUUCCCAAAAGAACUUUUUCUAGGAUUGGAAAAACCACAUCUUGCAGAGAGAGUCCUAUAUGACACAAUAGCCAAGAUAUAUCAUGACAGUUCCCUGCAGUCUAUCUUUUCUUCAAAACUUCUUUCCAGUACAUCUUCUGUGGACGUUACGUCAUCAGAAAUGGUAGUACCAACUGUAAACAAAGAACUUUGCUUUCAGUGGUACAUUCCUCCCCUGGAAAGACCUCCAAAGGAAGGAGAACCUAUGGUUUUAUUAUUGUGUGCAUACAACACAAAGCUCUUGAAGAGUUCAGAUAUUAAACUUUCCAGUUGGGGCAACAUAUUUGUUGACUCUUUCUGGAUUCCACUGAACAGGGUUAUUUCAGUUCAUGAGAAACUUUCUAAUCUUGCACAAAUAGCUGAACUAUCAUUGCCAGCAACUCCUGAAAAUACUGCAAAUGAGGAUAUAUAUAAAGUGGAUGAAACAGAAGAGAAACCAAUUGGUAAAGAUAUAGAAAACAUGAUUCUUGAAUGCUGCUCUGAAAUAUUAGCUCUGUUUUUGAGUGACAGAGAGCCAACACCAUUAACUGAGGGAUGAAUAAAACUGAGAAAUCAAUCAAAAGUGUGACAUCAGAUUGAAGAAUUUUUAAACAGUAUCUAUGAGCCUUUGGAAAUGUGGUGAGAAGAAAUGAUUAUGAUUCAAUAUACUGCUUCCACAGAAAGUUCCCAUUCAGACUUGGAUCUUACCCCAUCUGAUUACUUAUGAUGUAUGCAGAUACUCCAGAUAUUGUUUUGAGUUUUUGCUAUUAUUUACACUUUUGUAAGUUUCUUUAGUUUGCUUUUAUUUUGUCCAACUAAUCAAUUUUCUUAGUGUAUUGCUUCAACUUCCUGAUUCUCUCCUGUGUUUUGAAAAGAAUAAACAUUUGACUAAAUUAAAACUACAUUCUGA
This 1127-nucleotide long non-coding RNA is filed under the name Ictidomys tridecemlineatus (thirteen-lined ground squirrel). RNAcentral's name for it is "lncRNA (ENSSTOG00000029970.1)". The record is from RNAcentral. Lineage: Eukaryota; Metazoa; Chordata; Mammalia; Rodentia; Sciuridae.